RNAcentral lists this small RNA (27 nucleotides) under Bombyx mori (domestic silkworm). RNAcentral's name for it is "ovarian small RNA-28066". The record is from RNAcentral. Lineage: Eukaryota; Metazoa; Arthropoda; Insecta; Lepidoptera; Bombycidae.
UCCUUGGAAAAAUAUACGAGAAGAUGC